AGUACAGAACAGUAUAGUACAGUGGAGUAGAGAGCAGUUUAUCACAGAGAACAGAACAGUAUUGUACAGUAGAGAACAGUAUAGUACAGUAGAGAAAAGUAUAGUACAGUACAGUAGAGAACGGUAUAGUACAGUAGGGAACAGUAUAGUACAGUAGGGUACAGUAGAGCACAGCAGAGAACAGUAUAGCACAGUAAAGAACAGUAUAGUACAGUAGGGCACAGUAGAGUACAGUAGAGAACAGUAUAGUACAGUAGAGAACAGUGGCGUAGAGAGCAGUAUAGUACAGUAGAGUACGGUAGAGAACAGUUUAGUACAGUACAGUAGAGAACAGAACAGUAUAGUGCAGUAGAGAACAGUAUAGUACAGUGGAGUAGAGAACUGUGUAGUACAGUACAGUAGAGAACAGAACAGUAUUAUACAGUAGAGAACAGUAUAGGACAGUACAGUAGAGAACAGUAUAGUACAGUAGAGAACAGAACAGUAUAGUACAGUAUAGUACAGUGGAGUAGAGAACAGUGUAGUACAGUACAGUAGAGAACAGUAUUGUACAGUAGAGAACAGUAUAGUACAGUAGAGAACAGAACAGUAUAGUAGAGAACAGUAUAGUACAGUAUAGUACAGUGGAGUAGAGUAGAGAACAGUAUAGUACAGUGGAGUAGAGUAGAGAACAGUACAGUAGAGAACAGAACAGUAGAGAACAGUAUAGUACAGUACAGUACAGUAGAGAACAGUAUAGUACAGUAGAGAACAGUACAGUAGAGAACAGUAGAGUACAGUAGGGAACAGUAUAGUACAGUAGGGAACAGUAUAGUACAGUAGGGAACAGUAUAGUACAGUAGAGAACAUUAUAGUACAGUAGAGAACAGUGGUGUAGAGAGCAGUAUAGUACGGUAGAGAACAGAACAGUAUAGUAGAGAACAGUAUAGUGCAGUAGAGAACAGUAUAGUACAGUAGAGAACAGUGGCGUAGAGAGCAGUAUAGUACAGUAGAGUACGGUAGAGAACAGAACAGUAUAGUAGAGAACAGUAUAGUGCAGUAGAGAACAGUAUAGUACAGUGGAGUAGAGAAGAGUAUAGUGCAGUGGAGUAGAGAAGAAGUAUAGUGCAGUAGAGAGCAGUAUAGUGCAGUAGAGAACAGUAUAGUACAGUGGAGUAGAGAAGAGUAUAGUACAGUAGAGAACAGUGGCGUAGAGAGCAGUAUAGUACAGUAGAGUACGGUAGAGAACAGUAUAGUAGAGAACAGUAUAGUACAGUGGAGUAGAGAAGAGUACAGUGGAGUAGAGGAGAGUAUAGUGCAGUAGAGAACAGUAUAGUACAGUGGAGUAGAGAAGAG
Molecule: long non-coding RNA, 1335 nt
Organism: Oncorhynchus tshawytscha (Chinook salmon)
Lineage: Eukaryota; Metazoa; Chordata; Actinopteri; Salmoniformes; Salmonidae
Source: Ensembl